RNAcentral lists this ribosomal RNA (502 nucleotides) under uncultured bacterium. RNAcentral's name for it is "bacterial SSU rRNA". It matches the Rfam family "Bacterial small subunit ribosomal RNA", at positions 28 to 507 of the family's 1533-position model. The record is from RNAcentral.
AGACGAACGUUAGCGGCGGGCCUAACACAUGCAAGUCGAACGCGAAAGGUCUUCGGACUGAGUAGAGUGGCGCACGGGUGAGUAACACGUAGGUAAUCUACCCUUUGGCGGGGGAUAACGUUCCGAAAGGAGCGCUGAUACCGCAUAAGACCACGGAGUCUCCGGACGCUGUGGGAAAAGGUGGCCUCUUCUUGAAAGCUAUCACCGAAGGAUGAGCCUGCGUCCCAUCAGCUAGUUGGUAAGGUAAUGGCUUACCAAGGCGAAGACGGGUAGCUGGUUUGAGAGAAUGAUCAGCCACACUGGCACUGGAACACGGGCCAGACUCCUACGGGAGGCAGCAGUGAGGAAUAUUGGGCAAUGGGCGAAAGCCUGACCCAGCCACGCCGCGUGAGUGAUGAAGGCCCUCGGGUCGUAAAGCUCUGUGGAGAGGGACGAAAACCCUGGUUUCAAAUAGGCUCCAGGCUUGACGGUACCUCUUUAGCAAGCACCGGCUAACUCUGUG